GAUGAACGCUGGCGGCGUGCUUAACACAUGCAAGUCGAACGGAGCUUACAUGAUAGAGGAUUCGUCCAAUUGACUGUAAGCUUAGUGGCGGACGGGUGAGUAACGCGUGAGUAACCUGCCUUGGAGUGGGGAAUAACACAGAGAAAUUUGUGCUAAUACCGCAUAAUGCAGUUGGGUCGCAUGGCUCUGACUGCCAAAGAUUUAUCGCUCUUAGAUGGACUCGCGUCUGAUUAGCUAGUUGCGGGUAACGCCACAAGGCGACGAUCAGUAGCCGGACUGAGAGGAUGAACGGCCACAUUGGGACUGAGAUACGGGCCCAGACUCC
Molecule: ribosomal RNA, 325 nt
Filed under: uncultured bacterium
Lineage: Bacteria
Description: bacterial SSU rRNA
Rfam family: Bacterial small subunit ribosomal RNA
Source: RNAcentral